CAUAAUGGUGGUAGGGAUCCGAACGGUGACCGACCUCGGGAGCAUUACAGGUGUUGCAUGGCUGUCGUCAGCUCGUGUCGUGAGAUGUUCGGUUAAGUCCGCUAACGAGCGCAACCCUCGCUGUGUGUUAUAUGUGUCACACGGGACUGCCGGUCUUAAGCCGGAGGAAGGUGGGGAUGAUGUCAAGUCAGCAUGGCCUUUAUAUCCUGGGCUACACACACGCUACAAUGGCCAACACAAUAGGUUGCUAAGCCGCGAGGUGGCGCCAAUCCAUAAAGCUGGUCUCAGUUCGGAUUGCAGGCUGCAACUCGCCUGCAUGAAGUCGGAGUUGCUAGUAACCGCGCGUCAGCUAUAGUGCGGUGAAUACGUUCCCGGGCCUU
This 380-nucleotide ribosomal RNA is filed under the name uncultured Leptolinea sp. RNAcentral's name for it is "bacterial SSU rRNA". It matches the Rfam family "Bacterial small subunit ribosomal RNA", at positions 985 to 1382 of the family's 1533-position model. The record is from RNAcentral. Lineage: Bacteria; Bacillati; Chloroflexota; Anaerolineae; Anaerolineales; Anaerolineaceae.